RNAcentral lists this ribosomal RNA (618 nucleotides) under Triticum aestivum (bread wheat). Its description in RNAcentral is "partial small subunit ribosomal RNA". The record is from RNAcentral. Lineage: Eukaryota; Viridiplantae; Streptophyta; Magnoliopsida; Poales; Poaceae.
AUGAUGUGCGGUUUCAGUACUACUAGCUGUGAGGAGGAGGAGGUUAGCCUUGAUGGCCAGGUGGUACCUCGGAAGGACACCUUUCGGUAUUUGGGGUCAAUGUUGCAGGAGGAUGGGGGUAUUGAUGAAGAUGUGAACCAUCGAAUCAAAGCCGGAUGGAUGAAGUGGCGCCAAGCUUCUGGCAUUCUCUGUGACAAGAGAGUGCCACAAAAGCUAAAAGGCAAGUUCUACAGGACGGCGGUUCGACCCGCAAUGUUGUAUGGCGCGGAGUGUUGGCCGACUAAAAGGCGACAUGUUCAACAGUUAGGUGUGGAGGAGAUGCGUAUGUUGAGAUGGAUGUGUGGCCACACGAGGAAGGAUCGAGUCCGGAAUGAUGAUAUACGAGAUAGAGUUGGGGUAGCACCAAUUGAGGAGAAGCUUGUCCAACAUCGUUUGAGAUGGUUUGGGCAUAUUCAGCGCAGGCCUCCAGAAGCUCCAGUGCAUAGCGGACGGCUAAAGCGUGCGGAGAAUGUCAAGAGAGGGCGGGGUCGACCGAUUUUGACAUGGGAGGAGUCCGUUAAGAGAGACCUGAAGGAUUGGAGUAUCGACAAAGAGCUAGCUAUGGAAAGGGGUGCGUGA